This 598-nucleotide long non-coding RNA is filed under the name Physcomitrium patens. RNAcentral describes it as "long non-coding RNA (PPAT_LNC005719)". The record is from RNAcentral. Lineage: Eukaryota; Viridiplantae; Streptophyta; Bryopsida; Funariales; Funariaceae.
AAGAAGAUACAUAAUAUGGCAACAUGCAAUACAACUCUCAGCAUUAGAAUCAAUGACAUGCAACCACAAAUGACUAAUUCUUUGUGGAAUAUACACUUGAUUAAAACAAGAACUUUGUUCAAAAAGAAGAAUUCUAUUUCUACAAAAAAUUAAUGGCAAUAUAUUUUUGACUAAGAUGCUAUCAGAAAUAGGCAAGGCAAUAAGGUUAGAACAAGCCUACGAGAAGUGAAUAGUAGAAAUUCAACUUUUGUAUUAAAGAAAUGUAAUUUGAAAGGAAAAUGGUAUUCUUUGUGAUUUUUAAAUUUAUAAUAGAAAGGUGUCUGAAUUGGAGACUUACACACCCUAUUCCUGACUUAGACCUCACUACUAUUGUAUUUUAUGAAGUUUUCUUGAAAAUAAAUUGGCACUUGGCUGUAGAAAAUAAAAUAAAACUUGCAAUAAGAAGAUCCUAAAAACUCUAAUAGAAUCCUAAACAAAUUUCAAUUAAAUUAUAAUAAUACUAAUCAAUCUUUAAUUAAACUCCAAAAGAAUCUUAAAGAACUUAUAAAAGAAACAUAAAGAAAUCAUAAAUUAAUGUUAAAGAAAUAUAUAUAAUAAA